Molecule: long non-coding RNA, 3010 nt
Filed under: Oncorhynchus mykiss (rainbow trout)
Lineage: Eukaryota; Metazoa; Chordata; Actinopteri; Salmoniformes; Salmonidae
Description: lncRNA (ENSOMYG00000056118.1)
Source: RNAcentral
CUGCUUCUGUAAACAUCAACACAAGUGAGUUAUGGAGACACACACACACACGUAUACUAACACAUACCUCUCCCUCACCCAGAUCCCACCCCUUCCCGACCUUGCUCAGCAGCCAGGUGUCAGAUACCCCCAGCGUAACCUAACACAAACGCAUACACAUACACACACAGGUUGAGUAAUAGAGCUCAUUAUUUAUUAGGUAGACCUCCUGAGCUCAACCCUGAAUCAUUCAUUUGGUGAAGCUGCUCUCCUGCAUGGAGUUAUGGUGUACACACUGCCCUGCCUCUCUCUGACCUAACCGGCUAACUGCUGACCACUGAAUGACUGCUAACGGUGGACUGGGUUACUACCAGACCUGGACUACAACUACUACUGCUUUAGCUAACCUGUUGCUAUCAUAAGACUGGACUACUACUAUUGUAACUUUCCUGCUCUAAUUGUUUCUACAUUAUGGUGGCAUGUACUGCCCUGAAUAUCGUUGAAUCUAACCUGCUAACCGUGGCUAACUGUCGCUAACUGUGGACUGGGUUACUACGUUAGGCCUGGACAACGGCUCUAAGAUCUAAACUGCUGUAACACUGUGACCUGCUGUAGCUAAAUUGCAACAUUGGAUUGAACAAUGGUGCUAAGCCCUCUAACAUUGAGCUGACAUUGCCUCUUUCUCUCUAACCUGCUGCCUCUCACCAGCAAACAGCUAACUGGGCUAACAGCUAAUUGGGCUUACUGGGCUAACAACUAACUGGUAACUAGGCUAACUGGUAACUGGGCUAACAGCUAACUGGGAUAACUGGGCUAGCUCCAGCAUGGCCAUCACUCUUCUCCUGAUCAUCACCUUCUACCUGGGAUAUACACACUCACAGGUUAGACUGCUCCACACACACACACACAUCUACAACCAUAUACUGUAGUUGUGUUGUGGUUGUGGUCAUGUUCUGAUCAUGUAGUCUCUCCUCAGGCUGACGUAUCCAGUCUGAGUCCUCGAACAGUGUUUACGGUCAUGGUGACCGCCGCCUCCUCCUCCAACCUCAGCCCACCGGUCAGCCGUAUAAUCAACACCAACAAGACUGCCCCAACAUCCCCUCCCACCAAUCUUGAGGGGGAGAGGGUGGGCUCCAAUGGGAUCCUUCUGUCUUGGACCAUGCCCUCUGACUCCCGCGUCGACGGUUAUGUCAUCAGGUAAGGAGCCAUAUGAUGUAGACCCAGAUUAAGCCUUCUCCUGGAACACUAUUAGGGGAAUAACACUAUAAGGGGGGGGAAUAGGGUGUUGAUAUUCCACCACUAUUUACUUCUAAAUAAAGUUGUUUGUAUAUCAUCUGGUGUUUUAAAUAAAGUUGUUUCUAUUUAAUUUAAUAGGUACAAAGAGGUGUGUCCAUAUCCAGACCCCACCUUCAAAGAGGUGACCAAACACCUGGACAUUCCUGAGACCCUUCUCAAUCUCUUCUUACCAGGGUCUACCUAUAACAUCAAGGUAACACUCAUACAGUAAACAUACUGUCAGUAACGUCUCUCUGCUCUCUUUCACACACACAUCUAGAAGGUAAUCAUGCACUGGGGAGGCUAUACAGACAUGCCUGGUGCCCAAAAUGUAUGACAUAUGUCGCGCAGCGAGAGUUGAGUGGGGACGAAUGGAUUCUAUUCUGUCAGUCAACCUAAUGAGCCAGGUAGUUUAAACUGGUGGCUAGACGCUUCAGCGAUAAUUUGAAACGUGUCUGCCGAAGUUGGGACUUGGAGUGUUCAGAAUCAUUCAGUUUUUAUCAGACUACAAAAGCAAUAAAUGUGCUUUAGCUGUCACCCUGGCCUGAUAUUAGCUACACUAUCUAGCUACUUCCCUCUGAGUUACUGCACGAGAGCAGUGCUUGGAAAUCAGGACUCAGGACCGAGACACCUCGUGUUGUUGAGUUGGCGGCUUGCAGCGCAAACUCUCCCAAAUUGAGCAGUAUACUACUGUAUUACGGGGACAUCCAGAUAUAUACCAAUAUUACAAGUUAUUUCACGUCUAGGCUGCUUUCCUACUCAAAAUAUUAUUAAGUGGGAUGGAACAAAUUGGCCACGUUAGCAAGCGCCAGUGACAUGUGAUAGCUGCCCGGUUAAGCAAGUGCACUGGUCAUUCACACCGGCUUGUCGUUCCAGAUGGUGACCAAUCCUACACGUUUUAACUAGCGCCAUCCUUCUAGCCAGCAUAAACUAGCUAGCUGGGAAAGGCUCAAGGACAGCUGACUGAACCGAAUCCAUUCCUCUCCACUCUCCUUCUUCUUCUUCUGUGGAUUUUAUGGCUGACUAUAACCCCAAAAGGUGUAUUGCCGCCUCCAACUGGACUGGUUGAAAAAACAAGGUAAAAAGACAAUUCAUACGUGAUAGGGAAAACAAACUGUAAUGAGAUGGACACUUUGUACAUCAUGCAGGUUUCUCCGAACAAAUAGCCUAACCUAAAUGGCUCCCAAUCAAUUCAAAAAUGUGCUUUCAUGUUAACAAACAACAUAUUCUAAAAACAAGACAGGUCAAAGUAAAAUGGAAAAUAUGGAAUGUACCAUCACAACUGUCCAGGUGUUUCACCCCAUUGUCGUGAUCAUUGCAUUCAUUCAUAAAAUUCAAUUUCAGGCAACACUGUAGGCUACUCCUCAAUAAGCAUGGACCUGAUGCCGGUGCCUUUUGGACAUAUUUUUUGGUGCAGUCCGGACCGGCCUUGAUUUCCACAUCCACGGACAUUGGUUUUUAAAAUCUGAACCUGGUCUCGCCAAGGGCAACAGAAUGGCAAGGACCGGCCCUGAUCACUCCUCCCAGUCGGAUGGUUCCCCACCAAUUUCAAUGUACUAUUGAGCCUUGUGUGUCCCAGUCUCAGCCUUGUGACUACACUUUCCUCCCAUCUCUCUCUGCCUGAGAACCUCCCUGCCCCCACCUUUUCCUGGAUCUUAUACAGCUGUCAUCCCUUUCCCUCCCUUUUCCACAACUAUUGCCAUUUGUUUUUAACCACUGUUUUUAUCAACCCCUUGGCUUCUGCUUUACUGAUUUG